This 2132-nucleotide ribosomal RNA is filed under the name gut metagenome. RNAcentral describes it as "bacterial LSU rRNA". It matches the Rfam family "Bacterial large subunit ribosomal RNA", at positions 1 to 2149 of the family's 2925-position model. The record is from RNAcentral.
AAAAGUAAGUAAGGGCGCAUGGCGGAUGCCUUGGCUCUCGGAGGCGAUGAAGGACGUGAUAAGCUGCGAUAAGCUGCGGGUAGGUGCAAAUGACCUUUGAUCCGCGGAUUUCCGAAUGGGACAACCCAAUAUCUUGAAGAGAUAUUAUCCAUCUUAUGAUGGAGGCGAACGCAGGGAACUGAAACAUCUUAGUACCUGUAGGAAUAGAAAAUAAAUAAUGAUUCCCCAAGUAGUGGCGAGCGAACGGGGAAUAGCCCAAACCAUAUGUGUUACGGCAUGUAUGGGGUUGUAGGACCACGUCGUGGGACGAAAGUUAGUGAGUAGAAUGAUCUGGAAAGUUCAGUCAUAGACGGUGAUAACCCGGUAUACUAAGCUAACUGAACCCUAGUGGUAUCCUGAGUAGCGCGGGACACGAGGAAUCUUGCGUGAAUCUGCCGGGACCAUCCGGUAAGGCUAAAUACUCCCGAGAGACCGAUAGCGAACCAGUACUGUGAAGGAAAGGUGAAAAGCACUUCGAACAGAAGAGUGAAAUAGUCCCUGAAACCAUGCGCCUACAAGCGGUCGGAGCAGUUUAAACUGUGACGGCGUGCCUUUUGCAUAAUGAACCUACGAGUUACUUUUUCCGGCAAGGUUAAGGAUCUUGAGAUCUGCAGCCGAAGCGAAAGCGAGUCUUAAUAGGGCGGAUAGUCGGAAGGAGUAGACGCGAAACCAAGUGAUCUACCCUUGGCCAGGUUGAAGGACAGGUAACACUGUCUGGAGGACCGAACCGAUAAGCGUUGAAAAGCUUCCGGAUGAGCUGAGGGUGGGGGUGAAAGGCUAAUCAAACUUGGAGAUAGCUCGUACUCCCCGAAAUGCAUUUAGGUGCAGCCUUGAUUUAUACUAAUAUGAGGUAGAGCGACUGAUAAGAUGCGAGGGCUUCGCCGCCUAUCAAGUCUUGACAAACUCCGAAUGCGUAUUAGUUCUAUAUCAGGAGUGAGGGCAUGGGUGCUAAGGUCCAUGUCCUAAAGGAGAACAAUCCGGACCAUCAGCUAAGGUCCCGAAAUAAUUGCUAAGUUGAUCUAACGAAGUCAGAUUGCUAAGACAGCUAGGAUGUUGGCUUGGAAGCAGCCAUUCAUUUAAAGAGUGCGUAACAGCUCACUAGUCGAGGAGUUUGGCGUGGAUAAUAAUCGGGCAUAAGCAAUUUACCGAAGCUAUGGGAUGUGCAAACAUCGGUAGGGGAGCAUUCUACUCAGCGUCGAAGGUGAAGCGUAAGCUUUGCUGGAGCGUGUAGAAAAGCAAAUGUAGGUAUAAGUAACGAUAAAGGGGGUGAGAAACCCCCUCGCCGAAAGACUAAGGUUUCCUGAUCAACGCUAAUCGGAUCAGGGUUAGUCGGGUCCUAAGGCUCAGCCGAACGGUGAGGCCGAUGGCAGAACAGGUUAAUAUUCCUGUACUACCUUAAAGAGUGACGUGGAGACGGAGGCGUGACAGUGCCGCGAACUGACGGAAUAGUUCGUUGAAGGGUGUAGAUGUUGAUCGGGGCAGGCAAAUCCGCUCCGAGAGUCGAACCUGAUAGUAUGGAGCGUUCUUCUGAACAAUCCAAUAGUGCAUGUAAGCAUACUCCCAAGAAAAUCCGCUAAACUUAAUCUUUAAGGUACCCGUACCGUAAACGGACACACGUAGUCGGGUUGAAUAUACUAAGGCGCUUGAGUGAUUCACGGUUAAGGAACUAGGCAAAUUGACCCUGUAACUUCGGGAUAAAGGGUCCCCACUGCGAGGUGGGGCGCAGAGAAUCGGUCCAGGCAACUGUUUAACAAAAACACAGGGCUAUGCCAAAUUGAAAGAUGAAGUAUAUAGCCUGACACCUGCCCGGUGCUGGAAGGUUAAGAGGAGAUGUCAUCGCAAGAGAAGCAUUGAAUUGAAGCCCCAGUAAACGGCGGCCGUAACUAUAACGGUCCUAAGGUAGCGAAAUUCCUUGUCGGGUAAGUUCCGACCUGCACGAAUGGUGUAAUGAUCUGGACACUGUCUCAACCGUGAGCUCAGUGAAAUUGUAGUAUCGGUGAAGAUGCCGAUUACCCGCGAUGGGACGAAAAGACCCCGUGAACCUUUACUAUAGCUUAACAUUGAAUUUGGGUAAUUGAUGUGUAGGAUAGGCC